UGAGCUGUGAUGGGGAGAAGACAUUGUGUCUUCGAGUCGUUGAUUUCACACUGCCGAGAAAAGCCUCUAGAUAGAAAAUAGGUGCCCGUACCGCAAACCGACACAGGUAGUCAAGAUGAGAAUUCUAAGGUGAGCGAGCGAACUCUCGUUAAGGAACUCGGCAAAAUGACCCCGUAACUUCGGGAGAAGGGGUGCUCUUUAGGGUUAACGCCCAGAAGAGCCGCAGUGAAUAGGCCCAAGCGACUGUUUAUCAAAAACACAGGUCUCUGCUAAACCGUAAGGUGAUGUAUAGGGGCUGACGCCUGCCCGGUGCUGGAAGGUUAAGAGGAGUGGUUAGCUUCUGCGAAGCUACGAAUCGAAGCCCCAGUAAACGGCGGCCGUAACUAUAACGGUCCUAAGGUAGCGAAAUUCCUUGUCGGGUAAGUUCCGACCCGCACGAAAGGCGUAACGAUUUGGGCACUGUCUCAACGAGAGACUCGGUGAAAUCAUAGUACCUGUGAAGAUGCAGGUUACCCGCGACAGGA
This 524-nucleotide ribosomal RNA is filed under the name Staphylococcus argenteus. RNAcentral's name for it is "partial 23S ribosomal RNA". It matches the Rfam family "Bacterial large subunit ribosomal RNA", at positions 1557 to 2080 of the family's 2925-position model. Lineage: Bacteria; Bacillati; Bacillota; Bacilli; Caryophanales; Staphylococcaceae. The record is from RNAcentral.